GACAGAGGGUGCAAACGUUGUUCGGAAUUACUGGGCGUAAAGCGCGUGUAGGCUGCUCUGCAAGUCGGAUGUGAAAGCCCUGGGCUCAACCUAGGAAGUGCAUUCGAUACUGCAGAGCUGGAGUCCUGGAGAGGAAGGCGGAAUUCUCGGUGUAGAGGUGAAAUUCGUAGAUAUCGAGAGGAACACCGGUGGCGAAGGCGGCCUUCUGGACAGUGACUGACGCUGAGACGCGAAAGCGUGGGGAGCAAACGGG
Molecule: ribosomal RNA, 253 nt
Filed under: uncultured bacterium
Lineage: Bacteria
Description: partial 16S ribosomal RNA
Rfam family: Bacterial small subunit ribosomal RNA
Source: RNAcentral